ACACAGCCAUUUUCUUAGCAGCUUUUUGACUGUAUGUUACCAUAGUCCCACAAGGCAUUGGUCCUUUCCCACUGGGAAGUCAUGAAUAAGAGACUAUGAAGCUUGCACGUCAGAUCUUCCUCAAUUAAUCCACCAUUAGCAUGUUUGGGAUCCACUACUGGAUGGUUAACAGCAGCUUUUGUAACUGUACGCCGACCAUAUCCAAUUAUGCUCUGCUAAAAAUGAACUCUUUGCAGACCAACCCUCUCGGCUGUCAGUGUUUUCCGUUUUCCUAUUUUAACGUUUGUGUAUAGUGGCAGGCGACAGAUGGUGUAGAUCAGAUCGAUUUGAUUGCAUUAGAUGAUUUUUUCCCUUCCCCACUCCUUUCUGGAAGCUCGCAUCAGCUGAAGGCUAUCGCCUGGGACUCCUCGGAAGCAUGAGCAAGCCGCCACCACGCGAAGGCACUGGGGCACAGCCAGCGCGAGGCGCCGAGGUCCCUUCCCAGGGCUUGUUAACACUGUAACCCGGCACUCGGAGAGAAGAAGCAGCUCCCACUGCCCAGAGCCUACCUCACUGCACAUCAGAUGACUCCCUGGCUUCUACACACAGUUGGAGUUCCGCUUGAAACCUGGAUUUAGAGGGGUUCUCUGGCUGCCAUGGCACUCAAUCAAACCACCUAGAGUGGACUGGCCGAGACCAGACUGGGUACCAAGCAGAGAAGUGCAGAGGAAAGCACUGGGAGAGCACCAGAAUUGGAAAUAGAGCGGCCAUUUGGAUUUGGGCAGGAAGCAGCCGAGCACAGCUUUGGAUCCUUCUUUAGGGAAAUCGAGUUAUGGAUUUAUGGUCCCGGUCAAGCUCAGCCCAUCCCCAGGCAGGGGCGGGCUCAGCGAGCAGCAAGAGUUCUGGUGGCGGCGGCGGCGGCAGUAGCAGCGGCAGCGGUAGCAGCGGCAGCGGCAGCUUGGUCCUCUGACUCUCUUCGGUGACGGGUAUUCUUGGGUGGAUAAUACGGAUUACGUUGUUAUUGCUUAAGAAUACGCGUAGUCGAGGAGAGUACCAGCGGCAGGGGGGCAGCGGCCGCCCUCCCCAGCCCACCAGCUGGCCACUAAACGCCCGUGGUUGCCAAGGCAUCCAAAGCCUCUGGGAUGUGUUCUGACUGUAAAAACUCUGAUGUUGUGAAAAAAGCUUACGUUUUGCCUCCACUCAAACCAGUUGGUGUUUCGCUCUUAUUGCCCAGGCUGGAGUGCAAUGACGUGAUCUUGGCUCACCACAGCCUCUGCAUCCAGGAUUCAAGCUAUUCCCCUGCCUCAGCCUCCCAAAAUGCUGGGAUUAUAGGCGUGAGCCACCACUCCUGGCCAGCACUCCCAAUUUUUAAAAAUGCAUGAUUGACAAAAAUCUUAGAAAGCCGUUUUCUGUAGAUUUGAAAGCAAUGCUAUUUACAUUGUUACUACUUUCUUGUUAAAUCUUGCAUGUCUGCAGUAUGUGUUGUAAUAGAAACCUAAGAUUAUGAUCUGCUGUAUUCAUAUUUUAAAAAGAAAAUUUCAGACUGUAUAAUCAACUAGUUGAUGAUUCAUAUUUGCUUGUACAAAGUUAAAAGUGUAACUUGCCAGAAAAGAAGGAAGCCUGAAAAGUAUUCUAAAUACAUUAAUAAGAAGGGUUCUACAUGAAUUAAUUUUUGUUUUGCCAUCUACAGAGUUCCUGCCACAUUCUAGGCACUUCAUAUUUGCUGCAACAUUUAUUCAGACAUUGACAGAACAAGAGAAAAGAAGUUAAAUUUUAAGUACCAUGGAUUGAAAUUAAACUUAGGGAAGAUAUUUUAUCGUAUGAAUUGUUCAUCUGUAUUUAACAAGGUAUUCAUUUAUUUUGGGUGAUUUAAGGAAGGUCCUUUCUGGAAACAGGAUUACAAACAUACGGACCUAUUUAGUCAAUUUCAACCUUGUGAUUUUGAAUCUGACAGGUUCUCAGCUGCUUUUAUUAAAUAACGGAUUUUCUUAAUAAUUACUGUACUCAAACUUAGCAAAAAGCUCUAUUUAUAGCCCAGUUUUUUAGUCACACACUAUUGUGUCUUGUCAAAUUGAAACCAUAUACUACAUUCUUUACUUAUUAAGAUGGUCUUUUUUUGUAAUAAUUUUGGAGUAGAUAGUUUACUUAUCUAAACCUCUGAUUUCUCAUUUAAUAGAUUUUUGAAGCAUUUAUUUUCCUUACCAUACAUAAAAAUUGUCAGUUGAGGACAAGGAAGGAUUAACCUGGACUACGGUGAAUAAUUGUUCAGGUUGCUUACUGUGUAACUCCAGAGGAGCAUUCACAUGGUACAAUUUGCAGAUUUAAGUAUUUAUUACAACCAUUUUCUGGCAGAUAACAGUGGAACACCCUGUUCUGUUAAAAUUAGUUUAUUAUGACAAAUUGCCUACAGAUGGACAUAAAGUGUCUUGAGGAAGGGCACCUGCUUUGGACUGAAUCGUGUCCCCCCAAAAUCAAAUGUUGAAGCCUAAUCUCUAAUAUGAUGGUAUUUGGAGAUGGGGCCUUUGGGAGAUAACUAGGUUUAGAUGAGGUCAAGAGCGUGGGGCCUUCCUGAUUAGUACCCUGAAAAGAGAAUACACCAGAGAGCUUGCCCUCUCUCCCUCUUACCCCACAGGCACACAAAGAGGUCAUGUGAGUACACAGUCAGAUAACAACCACCUGUGAGAAAACAGAAGAGGCUUCAGAGUGAAAUCUACUUUGCUGGUACUGUAAUCUUGGACAUUAUUCUCAAGAACUGUGAGAUAAUAAAUUUAUCUUAUUUAAGCCACCCAGUCUAUGGUAUUUUGUUAUGGCACCCUGAACUAAGACAAAUUUUGGUACCAAGAAAUGGGGGUGCUACUGUAACUAAUACCUAAACAUGGGGAAAUGGCUUUGGAAUUGGAUAGUGAGUAGAGGCUCAAGAAUUUUCAGGUGCAUCCUAAACAUAUGAACAAACAGUAAAGGUGAUUCUGGUGAGACCUCAGAUGGAAUUGAGGAAUAUGUUAUUGGAAACUGGAAGGACGGUGAUUCUUGUUACAAAGUGGCAAAAAACUUAGGUGAACUGUAUUCUAGUGUUUUGGGGAAGGUAGAACUUGUGAGUGAUGAAAUUAAAUAUUUGACAUUUCUAAGCAAUAUGAUGAGGGAGCAGCUGGUUUCCUCCUGACCAUUUCUGCUGAAAUGAAAAAAGAAAAAAGAUAAGUUGAAGAAGAAAUUGUUCAGCAAAAAGGAACCAGAACUUGAAGAUUUGGGAAAUUCUCAGCUUAUCCACAUUAUUAAAAAAUGACAAAAACUUGCUCUGAAAAUAACACUAGGAGUGUGACUGGACAACCAUUUGAUAAGAGUUUAUGAGAUUAUGUGAGCAGAAAUUCUGCCAGUUUGAACUGAAGGGGAUGAAGAUGGGACAAAAAGAAUGAAGGCUUCGAGACUUCUUGGGUUAGACAUGAUGGGCUGAUUUGCUUAUUUGGCUGUGAACCUGCACUAUUUUUCAAGGAGAGGAAAAAAUGGCCCCAAAGGCAAUUCAGAGAUAGCCAGAGCCACAGCCUCAGUUUCAACAGGCUGGACAGUCUCCACUCAGCUCUUUGGAGGCAGAACCACUCAGAGGACUCAAGCCUGUCAGAGCUAGGGGGUGGGGCUGGCAAUCCCACAGGGUGGAAAGGAUGGGGCUAUCCUGCAAAUCCAUGUGGGUGAUGUUUUGGGUGGAAUGCUCUGGACUGAACUGUCCUCCCAUCCCCUGCUCAGAUUCUGUGUUGAAGCCCUUACCUCCAGUGUUACGGUAUUUGGACAUGGGGCCUUUGUAAGAUAAUUGGGUUUAGAUGAGAUCAUGAGAGUGAGGCCCUCAGGAUUAGUGCCCUUAUAAGAAACCUCAGAAAGCUUGCGAGUUCUCUCUCUCUCUCUUUCUUUUUCUUUCUCUCUCUCUCUCCCCGUGUGUGUGUGUGUGUGUGCGCGUGUGUGUGUGUGCGCGCGCGCGCGCAUCAUGUGGAAACACAGCACAAAGGCAGCCUCUGCAAGCCAGGAAGAGGGCUCACGAGAACUCAAUCAAGCUGGCACCCCAAUCUCAAACUUCCACCCUCCAAAACUGUGAGAAAAUAAAUUUCUGUUGUUUAUGCUACCUAGUCUACAGUAUUUUGUGCUGAGCUGACUAAUACAGUUCCUUUCCAGAUUGUACAAAAAUGCCACAUGAAUCAGAGCUCACCAGCUCUAGUAGGUAUGAUUGUUCAGUGUUCAGCAUAUAGGAAACACUGGGGAAAUGCUCAUAUGUUCAAUGAAGAAAAUAUGCAUAACAAGUGAUUUAACAAUAAUGUGAUAAUUCAUUGGAUUACUCUAAGAAAUAUGAGUUUUUUUAUGGCAAACUCUCCACAACACACUUGAUAAUAGAUUGAGAGGAAGAUGGCUGUGUAAAUAAUUAAGCUGAAAAAAUAAGUUACAUUUGCUCUCACAGAUCAGUGGUCAAAGAGAGACAAAAUGCUGAGGGUGGGGUGGGGUGGACAGGACAUUGAGGAUCAAAAGCACUUGGGAUCAGCUUCAAACUGAAGGUAAUAACUGGAAUCUUAGACACGGGUUUUUCCAGGAAAACAAAAUGAGAGAAGUCAGAUCAAGCAGAGGAAGUUGUAUGAACAAUCACUAAACUUCCUGACUUAUUCUCCAAGUUUCUUAUUCCUAAACUACAAAUAUCUUGAUUGCAUUCUGAGAACAUGCUGUGCCUCCCUCUGUCUUAGCAGUCACUACUUUAUAUUAAAAUAUAUUUUGAUGCUUUCCUUUCCCAUAGAUUCUCCAAGUCAUAAACAAUACCCCCAGCACCUAGCACAGAGCCUGGUACCAUGUUGUUUGUCAAAUUAGACUGAGCUCUGAUAUUGCCUUUUUCACCAGGUGGUCCAUACUCUCUUCUACCUUCCUUUAAUACACUGGCAUAUGUUUUGUAAGCCCUCGCCACAUUGUAUUCAAUUGUUUGUUAAUGUGUUUGUCUUCCUAAUUAGACUGUGAAAUUCUUGAAGGCAGAGAUUAGGUCCUGUUCAUCUUUGCAUGAUCAGUGUCUUGCCUAGCAUAUAGUAGGGUUCCCUUAGGGUUCCUUUUUUUUAUGAAAUGAACUAACAUUCAGUAUUUCAAAAUUACUGGAAUUUAGUGUGCUUUAGGUAACAGUGAGCAGAAGGAAGAUGGAUAAGAUAUAAGGCUGGGAAAAUAUGGGGGAAAUCCAUGUUUGAGGUUAAUUGAUUAAAAAGGAGGAGGCUUGAGUGACUUCUGUGCUUGGUGUGAUGGUGAUAUUCACCAAGGCAAGUUAUACUAGAAUAAUAAGUUAGGGAGAUAAUAGUGAGUUGAGACAUUUAUGAAAUAUGCAGGUGUCUAGUAGAGUUGGAUAAAUAGGCCUGGAGCUUGAGAAGUUCAGAACCAAGAUAGUGAUUUGGACAUCGUGAGAGGCAGUAUACAGUAAUAAUAAUAAUAAAUAGACUGGACGUGGUGGCUCACGCCUGUAAUCCCAGCACUUUGAGAGGCCGAGGCAGGUGGAUUGCCUGAGCUCAGGAGUUCAAGACAAGCCUGGGCAACAUUGCAAAACCCAUUCUCUACAAAAAAUACAAAAAAUUAGCCAGGCAUGGUGGCAUGCGCCUGUGGUCCCAGCUACUUGGGAGGCUGAAGUGGGAGAAUCGCUUGAGCCUGGGAGGUUGAGGCUGCAGUGAGCUCACAUCAUGCCACUGCACUCCAGCCUGGGUGACAGAGGGAGAUCCUAUCUCAAAAAACAAAACAAAACAUAAUAAUAAUAAUAAUAAUAAUAAUAACUAUUAAAGCACUUUCUAAGUGCUGGGUACUAAUUGCUCAGCACAUGCUAGUACCCUUAAUACUCACAUAAACAAACUUUUGGAGAUGUGCAUAAUUAUCCCCAUUUUACAAACUAGAAACCAAGCCACAGACCUCCUAGUUUACCUUAGGUCGUGCAGAUCUCAAACCAAGCAGGAUUCCCACCCAGUGACUCUGCUUCUAAAAUUCGUACUCAGUAUACACCAGUAUAGGGACUGGGACUGUCAGUCUUUCCUUUGCUUUGUGACUUGAUUAUAUUACCCACCACUUCUGUGCCUCAGUUUCCUCAUUUGCAAACUGAGGGAAAUAAUACUAUCUAUCUCAAAACAGUGCUUGUUAUAUGUUAGCACUCAAUCAACCUUAAAUUAUUAUUUCCAUUAGCCUAUUUAUGAAUGUUGAAAUCAUGGAGGAAAAGGAGAUUGGGUGAAUGUGGGGAAUAAGAAAACCAGAGGGUCCUUGAUCCUUUAAGCAGUGGUUGGCUAGAAAGAAAUCCAGUAUGGAGGCUGUGUGAUCAUCCCAAGGGGAAAAGUGAGGCUUCCAGACCUGGGGCCUGGGCAGAAUCUGGGAUGCCUGGUCCAGUGCAGAGGGCUGAGUAUCAGUCAUUCACAGCAAGCACUGCAGUGCUAGAAUGAUAAACUGAGAAGAAAUAUGCCAAAUCAAAAGCCUAGGCAGCCAUCCAAGUGUAAGGUCCAUCUAAAGGAACUGAGCAAAGAAAUAUGAAAAAAAAAACAGCUUAGACAGUAUGAGACAAAGCUUGAAGUUUCUUAAGCAGGUGGUAGGGACUUCAUAGGAUGCCAUGAAACUGAGAGUUGUCCAGAAGACAGCUCUUAAAGACAGUGGUCUUGCACAAGCUGGGUUUGAAGAAUAAUCAAAGUGGUAGGAGGGAAUAAGGAUGAGGCAGGAUCUUAAAAACCCAGGGAGGAAAAAAAUGUGAAGGAUGUGGGGAGAUGGGAGAUUUGGUAAGAUUCCAUUUCUUUCCAGCACCCACAACUUAUUAAUCCCUACAACAGUUUAAUGAGGUGGGCAGUCCAUUUAUUCCCGUUUUUAUAGUUUAGGAAAAUUAGACAACAAUAAUAACUGGCUUUGGGUUACACAGCUGGUGAGCGUCAGAGCUGGGAUUUUAACCCAGGCUGCCUGGCUCUCACGCCCAUGCUUGCAAUCAUCUAUUGCAUAGUCCUUAUUCCUGGCUGAUUUCCUCUUUGUCGUGGCUCACUUUACUCCAUCCCUUGUAUGUUUCUAAAGACGGAGAACAUGGCGUGAACCCCUGAGCGAGACUCCAUCUCAAAAAAAAAAAAAAAAAAAAGAGAGAGAGAGAACUUGUUUAUAGCAUUUUCCAUCUCCAUCUACCUACUGUACACUCAGCAAGCCUGGGCGGGGGUAGGGGAGUGGUACACGUUUAGAUUUUAAGGAAUUGCCCUCUCAAAUAUUUACGUAUAGUCUGAGUCCUUUCCAUUCCCAGAAGGCUUCAGAUUUUUUGAAACAGGUUUCAGAAAAAAAAAAAACUAAAUACUUUCUUCUUUCACUUCAGGAACCUAUGAAGGAAAAAGAAAUCAGUUAAUAUUCCAAAAUGAAUUAAUGGAUUGCUGAGUCAGCAAAUUUGAUAUUAAAACCAUUCAAUUACUUUCUAAAACAAGAAGGAUUAGUUGAUAUUGAUUGGCUGUUUGGUGAGAUGUAAAAUGUAAAAAGUACUUUGAAAUAUGUGUUAUAUCUGUGUUUAAAGAGAGAGCGAGACAAAAUAAUAAGAACAUUAAAGUUAGAAAUGUCUACUUCAAUUGGAUCCACUCCCUCAGUAAGUCAGUAAGUGCAGUGUAAUGCUCUUUAAAGCACAGUUAGAGGAUUUAAAAUCCAUAAUGACCUUGAAGGUCUUACCAGGGUUCCAGAUAAUCAAUACUGUUAAUAAUCACCUAAUGCGUAUUAAGGAUCAAUACAUUCUAAAAUUUAAAAUAGCCUGAUUUGGAAUCAUGUUGGUACUAAUUAAAAUUCCAAUUUUAGCCAACAAAAACAUAAUUGAAUAUAAAUGUUGGUUAAAUGAAUACAUAACUGCAUGAAUAGAAUAAAAAACCCAGGCAUAAAUUAUGAUGGUUUGCUUUCUGGUCCUGUAACAUAUUCUUUUUGAAUAUUCUAAUCUCAGAUAAUUACAUACAGAUUUUAAAAGUCAAAUUUUCUAUUAAGAUCAAUUCUUUCUUCUAUGUACAUUAUCCAUUAGGUAUUAAAUUCCAUUGCAUAGAGACAGUGAGAAGAUUAAUUUGGGUGGAUUUGAUUGUUGGGGUAAAUAUAGUAUAUGAAAAUUAAUCUUAAACUAAAUUAAAAAUUCAAGUUUCCCCAGCCUACACUUACUCUGUAGCUCAAAAGUUUUUAACUUUGGGUGUACUUCAAAUUGUCUGGGGGAACGUUUAAAAAUACCAUUUAGUGAAUCCCACCCAGGGCAAUUAAAUCAGAAUCUCUGUAGGUGGAGCAUUAGUGUUUCUCAGAAUCCUCCCAGUGAUUCCAGUGUGCAUCCAGGGCUGAGAACCAACGUUCUAGUCUUUUUAUUAGCUUUAUUAGCAUUGAUCUUAAGAUCCCCUACUCUAGGAUGUCAGAAUUUCAGGGAUAAAGACAUGGUCAGUAAAAGCUACCUUAGUCAUUUGUUCAUUCACCCUGACAACAUAUAUAUUAAGAUGACAGAAUUAAAUGUUACAUGAAGAUCUCGGGAACACCAACCAAUAACACAAAGCCCUAGUUCUCAAGUGACUGAGAGUCUAGUAUAAGGGGGAAAAGACAGGUGAAAUGCUGUAUUAAAAGAUAUACAAGAAAAAAACAAGGCCAACCUGAUAUCCCACCAUCACCACAAAAGCAACACAUCCAAAAGCUUCUCUCUUCUCUCUCCACACAUUUUCCUAGUCCUUAGAUAUUAGGACCACAAUCCUAGAAAACUAGGCUUGGAUAUUAGCCUGGCGCUGACUCCUUCCCACAUGUCUUGAGUUGACAAAUUGUGUGGGUUUUCCCUCAACAGUAUUCCUUACGUCUGCGUCCUCCUCUGGAUUCUCACUUUGUGCCUAUAGUCUUAUUUAAUGUUGGUCUAGAAUAUAAAUACAGUGAUAUAACUUGACUCUCUAUACAUACUUCCUUAUUGCAAAACAUAACUGGUCAUGUCCAAAAACCUCCAGUGAUUUUUUUUAUGUAUAAGAAUUUUAAAUUACUGAUUUUUCAAAUUCUAAUAACCUCCACUAUUUGUCCAAACCAUGUAAGUAUUUAUUCUGGUACUUUAUAUGAAUAUUAUCAAGAAGCAAUGAAAAAAAGCUAACUAAAUAUUUCACAGGAAUGGAAAACCAAACACCGCAUGUUCUCACUCCUAAGUGGGAGUUGAACAAGGAGAACACAUGGACACAGGGAGGGCAACAUCACACACUGGGGCCUGUUGGAGGGUGGGGGGGGUUAGGGGAGGGAUAGCAUUAGGAGAAAUACCAAACAUAGAUGAUGGGUUGAUGGGUGAAGCAAACCACAAUGGCACAUGUAUAUCUAUGUAACAAACCUUCACCUUCUGCACAGGUAUCCCAGAACUUAAAGUAUAACAAAAAUAAAAAUAAAUAAAUAUUUCAUACAUGUCAAACACAAACUUUUAUGAAUAUAUUACAAGGAGGAAUGCAAAAAGCAAAAAUGUAAAUUUAUAGUACAUAGUAUGGGAAUAUUAAACAUCAUUCCAGUAUAAAUUAUUCAUAGAGUCAAUUAAAGUAUUAUUAAAAUAGCAAACAAAAUAGUAGAUUAAGUGGAAAAAACAAUUAAGAUAAUUGAAAGCAAAAUAAUAUUCUUGGAUUUUACAGAUUUGUGAUGUAAAGAAGCAAAGCUUCAUUUGAUCCAUUUUGUUGUAAUUUUUCUAACUGCUCCAGAAAUUCUUUUAACAUCUACACUGCUCAGGGAAACGCUGUAGAGGACACUGUAAACUCUUUCUGCAUAUUUUCCUUUGAUUCCUUCAUCUUCAGAUAAUCCUACUUUUUUCAUAAAUGCAAGAUCUUUGUUACUACCUUUUUUUCUUUUCAAGAACUGGAAUAUUUUUAAUUCAGUUAGACCCAUAAUUUUUAUUUCUAUUUUUUUUUAACAUUUCCAGUUUGUAUUUACCGUCUUUUGUUUUGUAUACUUGGAAAUACCUAUGCAGAGUUACCGCUCUCCCUAUCAACACUGUCUUAACAGAUGUGCCAUCAGAGUAGGAUUAUUCCUGCAAAACAAGUUUGCAGCACCACAGUAUGUUUGCUUAUUAUGUGUGGACCAUUUGUCUGUUUGUCUUUUUUGUAUAAAUUGAACAAUGAAAUCAUUGAUUUUACUUGUAUGAUGUAAUAAAUGUCAGAAUAAUAAAACAAUAUUAUACUAACAAAAUUACCAGUACUUUGGACUUCAAAUUAAUAUGACAUUAUUGAAUGCUGAAAUACUGAAAGCCUGUAUUGAAAUCACUAGAUUGCAUUAUUAAUAUCACAGUACUUCUUAAAAUAAUGGUAUUUUUACUAGGUGGACUUUUCUAAGUGAGGCACUGUAGGUACAGUGGUCCAAAUUUACAUAAUCCUCUGAAAUAUUCUGUAAUUUAAUUAUUGUGACUCUAUUGUAAAGUAAUAAAAUUGCUAAGGUCAUAUAGUUGCCCAUCAGAAGAAGCAAUUCCUGUUAUUUAGUUAGCGUUUUUGCAUUAGAUUGAAAUGUCAGAAGGUCACUGGAAAGUUUGCUAAUAUUUUUUAAAUUGUAUUUUUAUUCUUUGCAUUGUUUCUGAGAUUAAAAAAUCAUUUAACAUAAUGUAUUGUAUUUUAUUUGGAGAAAAUUCUU
This is a long non-coding RNA of Pan troglodytes (chimpanzee), 10548 nucleotides long. RefSeq lists it as uncharacterized. Lineage: Eukaryota; Metazoa; Chordata; Mammalia; Primates; Hominidae. The transcript has 5 exons. The record is from RefSeq and is a predicted model, not a curated record.